This 72-nucleotide transfer RNA is filed under the name Dipodomys ordii (Ord's kangaroo rat). It matches the Rfam family "tRNA". Rfam says of the family: Transfer RNA (tRNA) molecules are approximately 80 nucleotides in length. The record is from Rfam by way of RNAcentral. Lineage: Eukaryota; Metazoa; Chordata; Mammalia; Rodentia; Heteromyidae.
UGGGAUGUAGCUCAGUGGUAGAGCACUUGGCUAGCAUGCAAAAGGUCCUGGGUUCCAUUCCCAUCACAGCAA